RNA transcript from Prinia subflava (tawny-flanked prinia), 1983 nucleotides. RefSeq lists it as uncharacterized. Lineage: Eukaryota; Metazoa; Chordata; Aves; Passeriformes; Cisticolidae. The record is from RefSeq and is a predicted model, not a curated record. The transcript has 4 exons.
CUUCCUGUCCUUCACACUUCCGUCUUUACUUCUCAGCUCCGCUCCCUGCGCCACGCUCAGCUCACACUCCCAGGCGAACUGCCCCGGCAGCCAUUCUCUGCAGGCGGGAGACGGCGGGGAGCGGUCCUGCAGCGGCGAGUCGGGCCCGGGACAGGCGCCGCGGCCCUGGGGCCGGAGCGGGGCCGCUCCGAGCCAGCGGAGGCAGCUGGAGCCGCGGCCCGGGGAGCGGGGCCGCCGCAGCCCCACAGCCCCGGGGCCGCCCCUCAGGGCCCCGCGCGGAAUGGCGGCAGCGGCGGGAAGGAGCCCGCGGGCGGCGGGCAGCUCCGCCUCCCUGCCGUGCCACACGCGGCAGCUGGCCUCAGGAGCACCGCCGGUGGUGUGGGGACACUGGUCCCACAGCUGGGGACGAGCCGCCGAGCAGCACAAUGCCGCGGAAUGCAUUAAGGGAGAGAGUGCGUGUAUGAGCGAGUUAAGGAGCAAAGAAGGGCAGAGUUCAUCGGUGCCUCCCCUCGGAGAGGAACGGAGGGCCCGAGAUGGCACCCAGACGCAAGGCCGAGGCACCUGACCGGCCUGCCUGGGUUCUGGGUAGGAGAUGUCACCGAGAGACCCUCUAGCCUGGUACGGCCCUCUGCUGAUCAUGUGCUGCAGCCUUCAAGGUGGGCAUCGACGUGUGCUUGAUUCCAGAGGAUGGCAUUGGCUGAGUUUAUGCAGCCGGGCAGCUGGAGACUGCUUAUGAGCCUUGGAGACAUGCCAGAGGUGGAAAGCUGUCAGUGCCUCUGUGCUUGUGGCUGUAAACCCCCCAGGGUUUAACUGGUGCUUCCUGGCCAAUUGUACCAAAGGUAAGGAUUAUGACAAGGUCCCUGGAGGAUUCCCUGAAGGAUUCCCUGAAGGAUUUCCUGAAGUUCCAGAAGACCUCCUGACAGCCUGGGAUGAAGCUUCAUCUGAGAGAGAUGAUGAAAACCCUGAUGUGCUGGAAACCAUUCCUAUGGAAGAAAGUGACAGUGUGCCGGGCUCAGAUACAAAAAUAGAACCAAUACAGGAUACCAACCCACUUAUUGAGCCUCAGGAGUUUUCAGGUGAGUGCCUGGGAGAUGCUGUCUUGGGAAAAGAGAAGAGUUUCAGCUGUAUCUCUGCAGGUCGCUCCAUAGAUGAAUUGCAGGUGCUCAGCACACAGCCCUGGCCUGCAGCUUAGAGGAGCAGACAGGAGCAGUGCUGUUCCCUGGCACACACUGCGUUCUUCUCCAUGGGAACAUUAGGAGAUCCCUCUUGGUCCCUGGUGCUAAAACGCCAGAGCCAGAGGGACCAAUCUCUGAAGACAACAAUCCUUGGGCACCUGAAGUGCACUGUGAGAUUAUCCCUAGUGCAGAGUACAAACAUCGUCUCUUGCAUUGUCUCGCACAUUGUCUUUUCUCCUGCCAGGUUCAGCUGCUGGGCAAAAAGCUGAGACUGCUGGACACUGUGACCCGAGCAAGUACUACAUCCUAGGGACAGUAGCAGCCUCGGCUUUGCUUCUGCUUGGGGCAGUGUGUGGGUAUAUUGUCAUGUAUCAGCUGCUGAAGAGAGACAGGAGGACGCAGGAAGACAAAGAAGCACUAGGACAAGACUACACUGGUUCUUCCUGGGAAAGGCGUGGUCAUCCUAGAGGUAAAGGUGAAGCAGAGUCAGGAGGAGGACCAGGAAGGGAUGAGACAGCCCAAGGCAACAGGUUCCGGGACAGCUGCCGCCUGUUUCCUGAGGUCUUUGCAGCAGAGCUUGCCCAGCGGUACAAGAACAUGGGCGCAGACCCCUCACCUCUGCCCACGUGUCCCUUCUGUGAUCUGGCUGAUGGUGCCUCUUCACAGGACCACUGGAUUUCCCUGGACUCACCUCAGCCCACACCAUUCUCAUGCUCCUGCUGCCAGUACCAGCAGGAAUAUUUUAUAUUAGAGGAAAACGAUUAUUUUAGUGAUAGCAUGUAAAUAAAUAUAUUUCUAAAAGCAGUAA